AUGAACGCUGGCGGCGUGCUUAACACAUGCCCGUCGAACGGUGAAGGCGGAGCUUGCUCUGCUGGAUCAGUGGCGAACGGGUGAGUAACACGUGAGCAAUCUGCCCCUGACUCUGGGAUAAGCGCUGGAAACGGCGUCUAAUACUGGAUACGAGCUGCGAAGGCAUCUUCAGCAGCUGGAAAGAAUUUCGGUCAGGGAUGAGCUCGCGGCCUAUCAGCUUGUUGGUGAGGUAAUGGCUCACCAAGGCGUCGACGGGUAGCCGGCCUGAGAGGGUGACCGGCCACACUGGGACUGAGACACGGCCCAGACUCCUACGGGAGGCAGCAGUGGGGAAUAUUGCACAAUGGGCGAAAGCCUGAUGCAGCAACGCCGCGUGAGGGACGACGGCCUUCGGGUUGUAAACCUCUUUUAGCAGGGAAGAAGCGAAAGUGACGGUACCUGCAGAAAAAGCGCCGGCUAACUACGUG
Molecule: ribosomal RNA, 467 nt
Filed under: uncultured bacterium
Lineage: Bacteria
Description: partial 16S ribosomal RNA
Rfam family: Bacterial small subunit ribosomal RNA
Source: RNAcentral